RNAcentral lists this ribosomal RNA (497 nucleotides) under uncultured bacterium. RNAcentral describes it as "partial 16S ribosomal RNA". It matches the Rfam family "Bacterial small subunit ribosomal RNA", at positions 29 to 507 of the family's 1533-position model. The record is from RNAcentral.
AGUGAACGCUGGCGGUAGGCCUAAUACAUGCAAGUCGAGCGGCAGCACAGUAAGAUCUUUCCUUUACGGGUGGCGAGGGACGGAUGGGUGAGGAAUACAUCGCCUUCUACUAUUUCUGGGGGGACAACGUAGGGACACUGCCGCUAAUAGCUCAUACGUUCAACGGCUUAAAUCAGUAGUGCUUCGCACUUUUGCCGUCUCAUUUAGACGGAUCCGCGUCGCAUUAGCUAGUUGGUAAGGUAACGGCUUACCAAGGCGACGAUGCGUAGCCGACCUGAGAGGAUGAUCAGCCACACUGGAACUGAGACACGGUCCAGACUCCUACGGGAGGCAGCAGUAGGGAAUCUUGCACAAUGGGCGCAAGCCUGAUCCAGCAAUGCCGCGUGAGUGAUGAAGGUCUUCGGGUUGUAAAGCUCUUUUGUUGGGAAAGAAAAACAGCGUAUGAAACCACGGAUGUUCUGACGGUACCCAAAGAAAAAGCACCGGCUAACUUCGUG